AGCAACAUUUGAUGGCAGCUCCUCAAUCACCACAUUAUAGAACCUCUGGAUGUCAAACAGCAUCCUCUCAUCAUCCCUCGUCACAAAAUUGAUUGCGACACCUUUCCUCCCAAACCGUCCACCACGUCCAAUUCGAUGGAGAUAGUUCUCUGGCUGUGUAGGGAGAUCAUAAUUUAUAACAAGGGACACUUGCUGGACAUCAAUGCCACGAGCCAAAAGAUCAGUGGUGAUUAGAACACGAGAUGACCCAGAUCGAAAUUCACGCAUUAUGAUAUCUCUUGUGUUCUGGUCCAUAUCACCAUGAGUGGCAGAGACUGUGUGGUCUCUACUCCGCAUCUUGUCUGUCAGCCAAUCAACCUUGCGUCUAGUGUUGACAAAAAUAACACUUUGGGUAAUGGCUAAGGUUUCAUAAAGAUCACAGAGUGUCUCAAGCUUCCAUUCUUCCUUCUCCACAUUGACAUGAAACUGCUUUAUACCCUCCAAGGUGAGCUCAUCACGCUUCACAAGAAUUCUAACAGGUUUGUUCAUAAACUUCCUCGUGAUCUCCAGAGCCUCAGGUGGCAUUGUGGCAGAGAAUACACCAACUUGAAUUUUUGAUGGCAGAAGCUGAAAAAUAUCAUAGAUCUGAUCCUUGAAACCACGUGAGAGCAUUUCAUCCGCCUCAUCCAACACAAACAUCCUGAUGUAAUCAGGACGAAGUGACUGUCUUCGCAGCAUGUCAAAUACACGACCAGGAGUGCCAACAACAACAUGCACUCCACUUGAUAGGAUGCGUUGAUCUUCACGGACACUGGUUCCACCAACACAAGCAUGCACCUUGACACCGAGAUAAUCCCCAAGUGCUCGCAUAACCUUUUCGAUCUGUUGUGCAAGCUCCCGAGUGGGUGCCAGGACCAAGGCCUGGCAUUCCACCAAAGCAUAAUCAAGUUGUUGGAGAAUACCAGAACAGAAAGUUGCAGUUUUCCCUGUUCCAGAUUGAGCCUGUUGAAUCACAUCAAGUCCCUUGCAGAAGGGAACAAUUCCUCUCUGCUGGAUUGCUGAGGGCUUCUCAAAACCUAUAAAAUCAUCAUUAGAACUUUAAGCAUUUGACCCUCCUAUGAAGUAAAGGAGCAAAUGAGUAGAUAGUAGAUGGUACACAUUCAUGAUGGCAUGAAUGCAUAUGCUUUCAUGCUUCAUCAAUCAUUUAUAAUUCAGUAGAUAGUAGGCGGCCACUAGACACAUGCACUAGAUAUAGGUCAUCUUUAAUUAUUUACCAAAUUAGAAUGGAGAGAAUUCAAAACCAAAAUAAUUAAACUGGUUGUGGAAGCAUAUCAUGUCCCCUUUUUUUAAGAGUGCAGCUAUGUUACCUGCCUAAGAUGUACCGGCCCAUGCCCACCAAACGUAGCACUUACCAUGUUAUGCCAAUUUUUAUUCUCAGAGGACACUCACACAUUUUACCAUUCAGUUUUAUAAAACAAAAUACAACCUUCUUACUUUUCAAUAAACAAUUUAUAAGCAUCAGCAUAGAAUCUUUGCUUUUACUUAAAUCAAUAAAAGUCUACAAUUCUGUUAAAAAUGGAACACUGCUAUCUAAACCAAAACUCAUAUUAUCAAAGAAAAGUACCAUAACAAGCUUAAAAGUAAAAAAUUUGAAAGAAUUACAGUGUAGAUCCCAGCAUGUGCGCAAGUUUUACAAAAUGAACCAUAAUAUUUUGCAUCACAACUCUCAUCAUCGCACUGUCAUUUGGGGAUUUUCAAGGUAUUUAUGCACUUCGGGUUUCAACUUGUCUUCUAUGAUUUGAGAAAUAAUUCAGCUGAAUAUAUUAUAGUAAUAUGAGUGUCACCAAAAGAUGUACUGGGGAAGGGAAAAGGUCAAGAGGGAGUUUUCACUCCCAACAGAGACUAGUGUUUUACUUUCUCAUGCGUCUUUCUCUUAUCCUCACGUGAGGUGGGAUAAAGGCAGCAGAAAUGCAGCAGGUUAAGGAGCAUUUCUCUUUUUUGAAUGAUUCUUAAUAAAUUCAACAAAGGGAAAGCAACCCAUGUACCAAAGCACAAAAACAAAAAGGAAAAAUUAUCUAAUGCUGCAUUACAACACAACCUAAGAGAAAAUACAGAGGCAUAAUUAUGUUUACCAUAUGCAUAGAUGCCCCUUAGAAGAUUCUCUUGCAAACCCAUAGAAUCAAAACUAUCAUAAACUUCAUCGUAUGAUGUGAAAAAAUCCUCUCCUUCAGUUGUGAGUAAUUCGUUCAUUUUGGCAUCAUAUUGUUUUGCAUCAAAUUGGGAUCCUUCUGCUGCUAGUCCAGCCAUGACUGAUGAUUGGCGAUGAAAGAGUGAAAUUGAAGAAGAGAGCUUUAGCUAGUUUGCUUGCUUGUUUCGGAAGAGCAAAUUAGGGUUUCCCAAACUCCUCGGAUCUAAACCGUGGAGUUAAGAAAAUCU
This 2415-nucleotide unclassified non-coding RNA is filed under the name Hevea brasiliensis (rubber tree). The record is from RNAcentral. Lineage: Eukaryota; Viridiplantae; Streptophyta; Magnoliopsida; Malpighiales; Euphorbiaceae.